Molecule: small RNA, 86 nt
Filed under: Mytilus galloprovincialis (Mediterranean mussel)
Lineage: Eukaryota; Metazoa; Mollusca; Bivalvia; Mytilida; Mytilidae
Source: RNAcentral
AAGUCCGCCUGCAAAAGUGGAAGGUCGCGGACCUCGCAGGGGUUCAAAUUAGCGGUGGUCCGAGGUCCGCGACCUUCCACUUUUGG